This 1314-nucleotide long non-coding RNA is filed under the name Theobroma cacao (cacao). RNAcentral describes it as "long non-coding RNA (TCAC_LNC001579)". Lineage: Eukaryota; Viridiplantae; Streptophyta; Magnoliopsida; Malvales; Malvaceae. The record is from RNAcentral.
ACAAAGGAAGAAAAGAAAAACAAAAACCCUAAGUGGAGAAAUUCAAGGAAAAAUUGGUGAAAAUUCAAGGAAACAAGUGACAAAAGGUAAAAUUUCUUGAUUUUGACUUGUGAUAUACCUUUCCCAUGCAUUUCUCCUCAUUUUUCAUGGUUAAAUUACAUGUUUUCAUGAUGAAUUCAUGGCUGGUUGGAAUGGGUAUGGAGAGAGAAUGAUGUUAGAUUGAUUUAAUUCUAAGUUAUGUUAGUGUUUUUAGUUAGUUAAGCAUGUUUGGAAACAAAACAACAAGAAAAGAAUCCAUUUUCCCCAUGAACCUUCAAUGGCCGAACCCUAUGUGAAGUGUAGAAGUAAUGAAUUGAUUUUGUGAUCAAGUGAAUUGGUUGAAAAAUUGAUGAAAUGAUGAUUUAUAGUGAGAAAAUGGAAUGGGAAAAUUUUUAGUGAUAGUGCACCACAAUGGCGAAAAUUUUCAAGAAGAAUUGUGAGGGUUGUUAGGCUGAAUUUUAGAUUAUUGGAAUUGUAUUUAGUGAAUUGAAAUAUUAGAAAUGAAAUGGAGCAAUUUGGAGCCAAAUCGGACACAAUUGUCAUUUAAUCGAGUAAUAGGCCGAAUUAGGUCAGCACCGCAUUUAAGCGGUAGUCGGAUAAGUUGAUAUCAUAUCAUGCAUAUACACCGAGCCUGAAUUGAUUGUAUAAUGGCCAAGCAUUGAUGUGGUGAAAUAUGUAUUGUACAUUGUGGAUAGGUGGUGAGCAAAUUACACUGGUUGUCACGAUCCGAAACUCCCAUCGGGCCCGUGACAACUGCCGCGACGUCUCGAUAGGCACUUAUUACCCCGAAUGCUGCUCGAAACCCCGCAAGGCUUAGCAUCAGCUUCCACAUCUCCCCGGUGAGUGACAGUUAUUAAAUCUCACAUUUCAAGAAAUCAUAAGUCGUUUCCAAAUCAAAACAAUAAAAUAUAUUUUUUUGGCUCACAAGGGCAUUUUCGUCAUUUUUCUUCAAAAAUACCGAAACCCCCCAAAAACAUGGUGUAAAAGAUAAAUAUGUUCAUACAUACUUUAAAUCAGAUAACUGAAGUAUAAAAUUACUUUUACAGUGACACGUGAGCCCCCAACUGACCAAGAAGGUGUAGGGCUACGAACCCUUACUUUCUAAGAUACAACUCCGAUAUUAAUUCUCGUCUUAAUCAACUAUCAACAAACUGUCCUAAGCUUGAAAAAUGGAUAGGAAGAAGGGUGAGAUUAUAAAUACAUAAUCCCAGUGAGUAAACAGACAUCAUCUAAACUAUCUAAAGGCGAGUAAAGAGAGACAGUUAAAAAUAAUUC